Molecule: ribosomal RNA, 207 nt
Filed under: uncultured bacterium
Lineage: Bacteria
Description: partial 16S ribosomal RNA
Rfam family: Bacterial small subunit ribosomal RNA
Source: RNAcentral
UGCGUAGGCGGUUGCUUAAGUUGGAUGUGAAAUACCCGGGCUUAACUUGGGGGGUGCAUUCAAAACUGGGCGACUAGAGUACAGGAGAGGGAAGCGGAAUUCCUAGUGUAGCGGUGAAAUGCGUAGAUAUUAGGAGGAACACCAGUGGCGAAGGCGGCUUUCUGGACUGACACUGACGCUGAGGCACGAAAGCGUGGGGAGCAAACA